RNAcentral lists this ribosomal RNA (1458 nucleotides) under human gut metagenome. RNAcentral's name for it is "bacterial LSU rRNA". It matches the Rfam family "Bacterial large subunit ribosomal RNA", at positions 831 to 2317 of the family's 2925-position model. The record is from RNAcentral.
AAUCGAACCCGGAGAUAGCUGGUUCUCCUCGAAAUAGCUUUAGGGCUAGCCUCAUACGAGUCUUGCGGAGGUAGAGCACUGAAUUCCUAAGGGGGCGUCAAAGCUUACUAAGGGAUAUCAAACUCCGAAUGCCGUGUAGAUGAUGUAUGGGAGUCAGACGAUCCGAGAUAAGUUGGGUGGUCAAAAGGGAAAGAGCCCAGACCAACAGCUAAGGCCCCAAAAUGUGUGUUAAGUGGAAAAGGAUGUGGGAUUUCGAAGACAACUAGGAUGUUGGCUCAGAAGCAGCCAUUCAUUCAAAGAGUGCGUAAUAGCUCACUAGUCGAGAGGUCCUGCGCCGAAAAUGUCCGGGGCUAAAACACACUGCCGAAGCUUUGGAAUUGAGAAUUCAAUUGGUAGAGGAGCAUUCUUAAAGGGACGAAGCAGUACCGUAAGGAGCUGUGGACUUUUAAGAAGAGAGAAUGCCGGAAUGAGUAGCGAGAGGAAGGUGGGAAUCCUUCCGGCCGAAUAUCUAAGGUUUCCAGAGUAAAGCUGAUCUGCUCUGGGUAAGUCGGGGCCUAAGGCGAGGUCGAAAGACGUAGUCGAUGGAUAACAGGUUGAAAUUCCUGUACUAUCCUGUAACAGAACUGUGGGGACACAGGCAGAGAGCGUGAGCCGGGAAUGGAAAGACCGGUACAAGCGAGGUAGGAGAAGAGUUGGCAAAUCCGCUCUUUAAUCUGAAGACGUGAUGUGGACUGAAAAUAAGUAGGGAAGCACGUGAGCUGACUGUCAAGAAAAGCCGCUAUUGUUUGCAGGAUACCCGUACCGUAAACCGACACAGGUGGAUGAGGAGAGAAUCCUAAGGCCGACGGGAGAAGCAUUGUUAAGGAACUCGGCAAAAUGACUCCGUAACUUCGGGAGAAGGAGUGCCAGUAAGAUGGCCGCAGAGAAUUGGCCCAAGCAACUGUUUAGCAAAAACACAGGUCUAUGCAAAACCGAAAGGUGAGGUAUAUGGGCUGACGCCUGCCCGGUGCUGGAAGGUUAAGGGGAGAGGUUAGCGCAAGCGAAGCUUUGAACUUAAGCCCCAGUAAACGGCGGCCGUAACUAUAACGGUCCUAAGGUAGCGAAAUUCCUUGUCGGGUAAGUUCCGACCCGCACGAAAGGCGUAAUGAUUUGGGCACUGUCUCAACAAUGCACCCGGUGAAAUUGAAAUACCAGUGAAGAUGCUGGUUACCUGCGCCAGGACGGAAAGACCCCAUGGAGCUUUACUCCAGCUUGAUACUGGGAUUCGAUAUUGCAUGUACAGGAUAGGUGGGAGACUUUGAACUCAUGACGCCAGUCGUGAGGGAGUCACUGUUGGGAUACCACCCUUGUAGUAUUGGAUUUCUAACCAGCAGCCGUGAACCGGCUGGGGGACAAUGUCAGGUGGGGAGUUUGACUGGGGCGGUCGCCUCCGAAAGGGUAUCGGAGGCGCUCAAAGGU